GCGGAGGAAAAGAAAAUAACAAUGAUUUCCCUAGUAACGGCGAGUGAAGAGGAAAAAGCUCAAAGUUGGAAUCCGGUUGCCCUAGGUAAUUGGAGUUGUAAACUGGAGAGGCGUUUUCCAGGCAAACCAAGCAAAUAAGUCCUUUGGAACAGGGCAUCAUAGAGGGUGAGAAUCCCGUCUUUGGCUUGAGUAUUGUCUUUUGUGAUACGCUUUCAAAGAGUCAGGUUGUUUGGGAAUGCAGCCUAAAUUGGGUGGUAAAUCUCACCUAAAGCUAAAUAUUGGCGAGAGACCGAUAGCGAACAAGUACCGUGAGGGAAAGAUGAAAAGAACUUUGAAAAGAGAGUUAAACAGUAUGUGAAAUUGUUGAAAGGGAACCGUUUGGAGCCAGACUGGCUGCUCUAUAAUCAAUCUCUGCUUCGGUAGGGAUGCACUUGUAGGGCUUUGGCCUGCCAACAGCAAUUUUUUUUGAAGGAAAAAACCAAGAGGAAUGUGGCCCUUCGGGGUGUUAUAGCCUUUUGGAAAAUACUUUGAAGGGGAUUGAGGACUGCAGCAGAUGCUUUUGGCGAAAUGUGUAGGUGCUUGUGUUAAUGAAGUAUAGAAUUUCUGCCUCGGGUGGUGCUAUGCU
Molecule: ribosomal RNA, 625 nt
Filed under: Backusella tuberculispora
Lineage: Eukaryota; Fungi; Mucoromycota; Mucoromycetes; Mucorales; Backusellaceae
Description: eukaryotic LSU rRNA
Rfam family: Eukaryotic large subunit ribosomal RNA
Source: RNAcentral